UCUCCGUCUCCUAUAGUCUGGAACAAUCCACAUUUGUUUCAGUGACCUUGACAUUUGAAGAUUACAGGCUGUUUUGCAGAUUGUCCCUCAGUUUGGAUUUGUUGAUGCUUUUCUCAGGGCUUGGGUUCCAGUUACACAUUUCUGGCAGGAAUAUCGGUGGUGCUGUGCUCCUCCCACUACAUCCUAUUGAGGUCCAGGAUUGGACAUCGUCUCACCUGUAGUCAGUGGAACCCAGUGUGUGAUCAAGUCACCGAGCAAACAGCCACAGUCAGAUCCUGGGCCCCAGCAGGGGGGACCUGAGACACAGAAGCCAGUAGCCUCGACGAAGGCUCGAACUCCACAGCUUCACCCCAAGGCAGAAGACUAGCCACUGCAUAGGCAGGAGGACUGCAGAGGCCUCCCACGUUCCUCACCCCACAGCAUCCGGAGUGUUGCGUUGCUUGCUCUUGUCGUAAAUGUAUCUGCCUUCAAACACAUUUUUUUUUCUCAUUAAACUUCAAACACAUUUUGAUGAGAGUAUUACCCAAGUGCACUGUGUACUAAGAAAUGAGUAAGAAUGAUUACCUGUCUCCUCCUGACCCUCAUGUCCAGGGUUUGGAUUCUUCUCGGUUCAUCCAGGAGCUAUUAAAAUUAUGAAGC
Molecule: long non-coding RNA, 639 nt
Organism: Neogale vison (American mink)
Lineage: Eukaryota; Metazoa; Chordata; Mammalia; Carnivora; Mustelidae
Exons: 3
Source: RefSeq, a predicted model, not a curated record